RNAcentral lists this ribosomal RNA (2004 nucleotides) under Staphylococcus aureus M1299. Its description in RNAcentral is "bacterial LSU rRNA". It matches the Rfam family "Bacterial large subunit ribosomal RNA", at positions 3 to 2005 of the family's 2925-position model. Lineage: Bacteria; Bacillati; Bacillota; Bacilli; Caryophanales; Staphylococcaceae. The record is from RNAcentral.
UUAAGUUAUUAAGGGCGCACGGUGGAUGCCUUGGCACUAGAAGCCGAUGAAGGACGUUACUAACGACGAUAUGCUUUGGGGAGCUGUAAGUAAGCUUUGAUCCAGAGAUUUCCGAAUGGGGAAACCCAGCAUGAGUUAUGUCAUGUUAUCGAUAUGUGAAUACAUAGCAUAUCAGAAGGCACACCCGGAGAACUGAAACAUCUUAGUACCCGGAGGAAGAGAAAGAAAAUUCGAUUCCCUUAGUAGCGGCGAGCGAAACGGGAAGAGCCCAAACCAACAAGCUUGCUUGUUGGGGUUGUAGGACACUCUAUACGGAGUUACAAAGGACGACAUUAGACGAAUCAUCUGGAAAGAUGAAUCAAAGAAGGUAAUAAUCCUGUAGUCGAAAAUGUUGUCUCUCUUGAGUGGAUCCUGAGUACGACGGAGCACGUGAAAUUCCGUCGGAAUCUGGGAGGACCAUCUCCUAAGGCUAAAUACUCUCUAGUGACCGAUAGUGAACCAGUACCGUGAGGGAAAGGUGAAAAGCACCCCGGAAGGGGAGUGAAAUAGAACCUGAAACCGUGUGCUUACAAGUAGUCAGAGCCCGUUAAUGGGUGAUGGCGUGCCUUUUGUAGAAUGAACCGGCGAGUUACGAUUUGAUGCAAGGUUAAGCAGUAAAUGUGGAGCCGUAGCGAAAGCGAGUCUGAAUAGGGCGUUUAGUAUUUGGUCGUAGACCCGAAACCAGGUGAUCUACCCUUGGUCAGGUUGAAGUUCAGGUAACACUGAAUGGAGGACCGAACCGACUUACGUUGAAAAGUGAGCGGAUGAACUGAGGGUAGCGGAGAAAUUCCAAUCGAACCUGGAGAUAGCUGGUUCUCUCCGAAAUAGCUUUAGGGCUAGCCUCAAGUGAUGAUUAUUGGAGGUAGAGCACUGUUUGGACGAGGGGCCCCUCUCGGGUUACCGAAUUCAGACAAACUCCGAAUGCCAAUUAAUUUAACUUGGGAGUCAGAACAUGGGUGAUAAGGUCCGUGUUCGAAAGGGAAACAGCCCAGACCACCAGCUAAGGUCCCAAAAUAUAUGUUAAGUGGAAAAGGAUGUGGCGUUGCCCAGACAACUAGGAUGUUGGCUUAGAAGCAGCCAUCAUUUAAAGAGUGCGUAAUAGCUCACUAGUCGAGUGACACUGCGCCGAAAAUGUACCGGGGCUAAACAUAUUACCGAAGCUGUGGAUUGUCCUUUGGACAAUGGUAGGAGAGCGUUCUAAGGGCGUUGAAGCAUGAUCGUAAGGACAUGUGGAGCGCUUAGAAGUGAGAAUGCCGGUGUGAGUAGCGAAAGACGGGUGAGAAUCCCGUCCACCGAUUGACUAAGGUUUCCAGAGGAAGGCUCGUCCGCUCUGGGUUAGUCGGGUCCUAAGCUGAGGCCGACAGGCGUAGGCGAUGGAUAACAGGUUGAUAUUCCUGUACCACCUAUAAUCGUUUUAAUCGAUGGGGGGACGCAGUAGGAUAGGCGAAGCGUGCGAUUGGAUUGCACGUCUAAGCAGUAAGGCUGAGUAUUAGGCAAAUCCGGUACUCGUUAAGGCUGAGCUGUGAUGGGGAGAAGACAUUGUGUCUUCGAGUCGUUGAUUUCACACUGCCGAGAAAAGCCUCUAGAUAGAAAAUAGGUGCCCGUACCGCAAACCGACACAGGUAGUCAAGAUGAGAAUUCUAAGGUGAGCGAGCGAACUCUCGUUAAGGAACUCGGCAAAAUGACCCCGUAACUUCGGGAGAAGGGGUGCUCUUUAGGGUUAACGCCCAGAAGAGCCGCAGUGAAUAGGCCCAAGCGACUGUUUAUCAAAAACACAGGUCUCUGCUAAACCGUAAGGUGAUGUAUAGGGGCUGACGCCUGCCCGGUGCUGGAAGGUUAAGAGGAGUGGUUAGCUUCUGCGAAGCUACGAAUCGAAGCCCCAGUAAACGGCGGCCGUAACUAUAACGGUCCUAAGGUAGCGAAAUUCCUUGUCGGGUAAGUUCCGACCCGCACGAAAGGCGUAAC